AGAAGCGUGCGGAGGUGAGCUACAAAUACGUGUGCAAGAGAACAGCCAUGCACCUGCCAGUGCUGCAUGAGGGGGCGGGCAGCAGGCGGGACGCAUCCCCCGGGGAGG
Chelonoidis abingdonii (Abingdon island giant tortoise) is the source of this 108-nucleotide non-coding RNA. The record is from RefSeq and is a predicted model, not a curated record. Lineage: Eukaryota; Metazoa; Chordata; Testudines; Testudinidae.